AAGACCUUGCACUUUUGGAGCGGCCGAUGUCUGAUUAGCUAGUUGGUGGGGUAAUGGCCUACCAAAGCUUCGAUCAGUAGCUGGUCUGAGAGGACGGCCAGCCACACUGGGACUGAGACACGGCCCAGACUCCUACGGGAGGCAGCAGUGGGGAAUUUUGGACAAUGGGCGCAAGCCUGAUCCAGCCAUGCCGCGUGAGUGAAGAAGGCCUUCGGGUYGUAAAGCUCUUUCAGCCGGGAAGAAAAGGUUGCGACUAAUAAUCGCARUUCAUGACGGUACCGAAAGAAGAAGCACCGGCUAACUACGUGCCAGCAGCCGCGGUAAUACGUAGGGUGCGAGCGUUAAUCGGAAUUACUGGGCGUAAAGGGUGCGCAGGCGGUUUUGUAAGUCAGAUGUGAAAUCCCCGGGCUUAACCUGGGAACU
This 423-nucleotide ribosomal RNA is filed under the name uncultured bacterium. RNAcentral describes it as "bacterial SSU rRNA". It matches the Rfam family "Bacterial small subunit ribosomal RNA", at positions 207 to 622 of the family's 1533-position model. The record is from RNAcentral.